AUUUUAUUAGUUUAUAUAUAUACAUACAUGUAUGUAUACUGUUUGCACAAUGUGCAUCAAUAGACUCAAAGAAAAAAGAAGUGGACAUGGUAUUUAGAUAUCUGUUUUUAUUAACUGAAGUCUGUACUUUAUAACUGAACUAGCUGCUAGUUUAGAAUUUAUUUUUCUCCUUCCAUAUUUGAAAAAAACAGAUAAACUUUGAAUUAGUGUAACCAGUUCAACUAUAAAAAAA
Molecule: long non-coding RNA, 232 nt
Organism: Ooceraea biroi (clonal raider ant)
Lineage: Eukaryota; Metazoa; Arthropoda; Insecta; Hymenoptera; Formicidae
Source: RefSeq, a predicted model, not a curated record